UACAGAGGGUGCGAGCGUUGUCCGGAAUUACUGGGCGUAAAGGGCGCGUAGGCGGCCCGGCGCGCGUGCCGUGAAAGCCCGGGGCUCAACCCCGGGUCGGCGGUGCGGACGGCCGGGCUGGAGCACGUCAGGGGCGGGUGGAAUUCCGGGUGUAGCGGUGGAAUGCGUAGAGAUCCGGAAGAACACCGGUGGCGAAGGCGGCCCGCUGGGACGUGGCUGACGCUGAGGCGCGAAAGCGUGGGGAGCAAACAGG
This 253-nucleotide ribosomal RNA is filed under the name uncultured bacterium. RNAcentral describes it as "partial 16S ribosomal RNA". It matches the Rfam family "Bacterial small subunit ribosomal RNA", at positions 524 to 776 of the family's 1533-position model. The record is from RNAcentral.